Molecule: long non-coding RNA, 519 nt
Organism: Gigantopelta aegis
Lineage: Eukaryota; Metazoa; Mollusca; Gastropoda; Neomphalida; Peltospiridae
Exons: 4
Source: RefSeq, a predicted model, not a curated record
UGUGUGUAUCCGUGUCUGUCUGUGUUUGUCCGUGUGUAUGUCCGUGUCUGUGUAUAACCGUGUCCGACUGUCCGUCUGUGUGUGUAUCUGUGUCUGUCUGUCAGUGUAUGUGUGUAUGUGUUUGUGAUGGCCGAUAUCAACAAGAUGCAGCAGCCCAUAGGACGACGACCAAGACCAACACAGGACGUAGGAGGCCUUAGGAUGAUGACCCAUAUAAACUCAGGAUGCAGGAGCCUGUAGGAUGAUUAUCGAUAUCUACACAUAGCGUAGGCCAUCACCAGUUAAGAUCUUAAAGGAUGAUGGCCGAUAUCUACACAUGACAGGGGACAUCAACAGUUGAGCAGAUGAUGAAGGAUCUCAAGGACGACAGCCAAUAUAGUGAGAAACGAGGACAUCAUCGGCAGAUAGAGGAUGCAGAAUCCCCGAAAAUAGCAGGAUCCCCAAAAAUAGCAGGAUCCCAGAAGAUGACGGCUACACACGGCUGCACACAGCUUGGGACAUCAGCAGAUGAAAGUAUGU